UUGUAGCCAUAGUUCAGGGUCCCCUUGAAGAUCACAGAUGCGUUCUGAAUGGAGACAUCAACAGAUUUGGCCUCCACCAGCUCAACCUGGCUGUUGGCAAUGGACAGGUGGCUGAUCUGGAUGCUGUGAGGACAGACGCUCCUGCCUCCGUGUUCCUGUCCUGUUUGAGAUCCUGCCCUGACUUCCUUCAAUGAUGGGCUGUGAUACAGAAGUGUGAGCUAAAUGAGCCCCUUCCUCCUCGAGUUGCUUUGGCCAUGGUGUUUCAUCAUAGCGAUAGGGACCCUGACUAAGACGCAGGGGCCAAGAACUGCCUGCCCUGUUUUCACUGGGACCAACUCACCGAUUGCUGCCACUCACAGCCCCUGGGAAGGAGCCAAGGAUGCAGGGACUUGGACAGGACAGCCCAUAUGAGGAAGGCCCAAAGAAAUGGAGGGCAGGAGUAGACUCACUUGGCACUGUCUCAAGAGUCACUCCAACGUCAAGAGUUCAAAGCUGCUCAGGAACAGGAGCAAGCCAAGCCUCACAGUUUCCAGGAUUCGGAGAGGCCAGUCUGCUGCUCCUGGGCACACUACCCUCAAGGUUCAUACCCACAGCCAUGGUGAGGACCCCCCUCAGCUGAGAGGGUGGGUGAAUGGAAUGUAGCCUUUAGCCCAGACAUCGCUUCCUGGGUAUCCCACCCACACAGGAGCCUCCAGUGUUAGGGUCAUGAGGACUUCCUGGGGCUAUUGUCCUAGCUGCUGUUUGUGUACAACUCCAGGGCAACAGAGGGCAACGACCCAGGGUGCCCCAUCAGGGAACUAGCGGUCACUGGACUAAGGAGAGAGGCAAACUCCACACUCUAGUACAGGGGCCUCACACCAGUGAAGUAGUGUGAUUGGGAGGGUAAUGGAUUAAAAAAAACAAAACAAAACAGUCAAACCCAUAAACGCCCACCCUUCAAGCUUGGGAGACUAUCUCAGUCCUUAUAACUGAAGGUCAGGAAAAGCGUAUGCCUGUACCUCCAGUACCUGGGAAGCAGAGUCAGGAAUUCUAGGCUAUCAUCAGCUGCAUAGUAAGUUUGAGGCCAACCCUGGCUACGUGAGCCUUUGCCUUAAAAACAAAACCCCUCAACCAGACAUGCCUGCUUCAGCUUUUUAUUUAGCUCGCUGGUGGUCCUUCACCUUUGGGCAGGCUCAGGGGCAGCAAAAUUGGCAUCGUGGUCACCUGUGGUAGUCCGGGACUUCUGAUGGGUCUCCAGGGCCCUUUCUCCUCUCCCCUGAGGCUAGUCCUGCUGCUGGGGCCCUUCAGGAUCAGCCGCAGACAGCUGCAGCCACAGCACUGGUCAUGAUGCUCCAGGACUUCUGGAGUAUGUGAGAAGAUGUCUAUUCCCUCUUCAUAGAUAGGGCCAAAGAAAUGAUUCCGGCCAAGUCUAGGUUGUUGAACCCAUGAGUUGGGGCAGAGGAAGGGGUUUAGUUACGGGAGCAUGAAUGACUCAAAGGCUUCCAUAUCACUUAAAAGCCCAUGCCAGGACUCCCAUGGGACUCUUCCAAGCCCAGGACACCUCAGUGACUGACAGAGAGCUGGCAAGGUCACAAGGCCCUGGCAAAGGCCCUUUUCACCCUUCAUCCGAGAAGCCCCUCUUUGCAGUGAAUGAUAAUAAAUACAGAGACCGUAACUCCUUAAAGUGUUGGUAGUCAGUGAUGGUUGAGUGCUCAGCCCUCAACAAGACAUUCAUACUGUCCCUCUAAAACACUGAGGGGUCGGGGCAGAAAAAAACCUAAGAGCCAGGAUAAGGAGGAGGGCUACAAAAUGCCAUCUUCUGGUAAGACACAACUGUAAUCACAAACGCAGAGCAGCUGGGGCUGCCGGCCAGUGGCCAGGCAUGGAUCUGAGAGGCUCGGGUAGAGUCUGGGAGGCAGGGAGUUAUUUUCUAAGUUGUCUUCCCACCAGAGCCUACCAGAGUCCCAUGAGUAACUUCAAAUCAAUACUCAACAGGUGGCCUUGGUUAAAGCGUCUCUCACAAAUAAAGAAGACGUGCAUCUUAGGAAGGGUCUUGUGGGGAGGAGGCGGGGGUUGAUAGGGAUGGUAGAGAGAUAAGAGAUAGUGUGGGGAAAAUAAUCAGAAUGCCUUAGGUACGUAUACAAAAUGGUCAUAAAAUAAACUUCACUAAACGUUAGAAAUAAUAAUGAUAAAUAAAUAAGUAUUUUUUAGAGUUAAAAAGAUACCCGAGUGGAGAGCAGAGCAACUUGCUCUGUGCACUGAAUCACGUCAGCAAUAUUGCCUCCUUCUUUGAAAGAACUUGACUUUGAGAACAUGGUACCACUCUGCCUGCAGGG
Molecule: long non-coding RNA, 2315 nt
Organism: Peromyscus maniculatus bairdii (prairie deer mouse)
Lineage: Eukaryota; Metazoa; Chordata; Mammalia; Rodentia; Cricetidae
Source: RefSeq, a predicted model, not a curated record